ACGAACGCUGGCGGCGUGCUUAACACAUGCAAGUCGAACGGAAAGGCCUCUUUCGGGGGGUACUCGAGUGGCGAACGGGUGAGUAACACGUGAGUAACCUGCCCUUGACUUUGGGAUAACUUCAGGAAACUGGGGCUAAUACCGGAUAGGAGCUCCUGCUGCAUGGUGGGGGUUGGAAAGUUUCGGCGGUUGGGGAUGGACUCGCGGCUUAUCAGCUUGUUGGUGGGGUAGUGGCUUACCAAGGCUUUGACGGGUAGCCGGCCUGAGAGGGUGACCGGCCACAUUGGGACUGAGAUACGGCCCAGACUCCUACGGGAGGCAGCAGUGGGGAAUAUUGCACAAUGGGUGGAAGCCUGAUGCAGCAACGCCGUGUGCGGGAUGACGGUCUUCGGGUUGUAAACCGCUUUCGCUCAUGACGAAGCUUUGUGUGACGGUAGUGGGUAAAGAAGCACCGGCUAACUACGUG
RNAcentral lists this ribosomal RNA (466 nucleotides) under uncultured bacterium. RNAcentral's name for it is "partial 16S ribosomal RNA". It matches the Rfam family "Bacterial small subunit ribosomal RNA", at positions 29 to 507 of the family's 1533-position model. The record is from RNAcentral.